RNAcentral lists this ribosomal RNA (253 nucleotides) under uncultured bacterium. RNAcentral describes it as "partial 16S ribosomal RNA". It matches the Rfam family "Bacterial small subunit ribosomal RNA", at positions 524 to 776 of the family's 1533-position model. The record is from RNAcentral.
UACGUAGGGGGCAAGCGUUGUCCGGAAUCAUUGGGCGUAAAGCGCGCGUAGGCGGCCAGAUUAGUCCGGUGUGAAAGUCAGAGGCUCAACCUUUGAAUGCCGCUGGAAACUGUCUGGCUUGAGUCCGGAAGGGGCGAGUGGAAUUCCUGGUGUAGCGGUGAAAUGCGCAGAUAUCAGGAGGAACACCAAUGGCGAAGGCAGCUCGCUGGAACGGUACUGACGCUGAGGCACGAAAGCGUGGGGAGCAAACAGG